This 622-nucleotide long non-coding RNA is filed under the name Vigna radiata. RNAcentral's name for it is "long non-coding RNA (VRAD_LNC015251)". Lineage: Eukaryota; Viridiplantae; Streptophyta; Magnoliopsida; Fabales; Fabaceae. The record is from RNAcentral.
CACCUCAUCACAUUAGAGCAAUUUGAUAGUUUAAAAGCAGAUGGUGAUGUAGUUUGUCUAGGGAAAUGAGCACUUAAUGAUGGACUAAGAUUAAUCAUAGCAUUUUGUAGUAAGGAUUGGUCAAAUCUGAACUUGAACGGGUGGAGCAAGAUAGGAAACAUCGAGAUGGAACAUAUAGGCACUCUAGUUGGUGGGAUUGGUGUAGUUGGGGGUGGUGAGUAUAAGGAGAUAAAAGUUAGGAAAAAUGAUAUCGUAUUGAACGGUGUAGGAAAGGAUAAUGGGAUGAAGAGAGUCAAGAAUGCAGUUGCUUGUAAAAAACUAUAAAAGAUAUAAGGUGGAGGUGCCAAGAGAGGGUUUGAAGGUGUAAGGAGUGAAAAAAAAAAAACAAAUGAUGGUGGAAGAACAAAAUGGUGGAGGUUGCAACCACCAUUAAAGCUUUCCCAUAACAAUUACCAUCACGUCCACCACUACCAAAGUUAACUAUAAUCUAAUGAUAUAGAAUCAUGUGGAUAUGUAACUGUAAGACAAAAUAAAAUUCAAUUAUAUUCCACCAUAAUGAUGUUUAACUAUAAUCCAUUAUGAAACACUACUUGCUAAGUAAAAGACUCUAACAUUGUUUGUU